Molecule: transfer RNA, 71 nt
Filed under: Polyangiaceae bacterium
Lineage: Bacteria; Pseudomonadati; Myxococcota; Polyangiales; Polyangiaceae
Description: tRNA-Gly
Rfam family: tRNA
About the family: Transfer RNA (tRNA) molecules are approximately 80 nucleotides in length. Their secondary structure includes four short double-helical elements and three loops (D, anti-codon, and T loops).
Source: RNAcentral
GCGGUGGUAGUUCAACGGUAGAAUUCGAGGAUGCCAGCCUUGGGAUCCGGGUUCGAUUCCCGGUCACCGCA